ANUGGGGGAACCCUGAUGCAGCGACGCCGCGCUGAGUGAUGAAGUAUUUCNGUAUGUAAAACUCUAUCAGCAGGGGAAGAUAAUGACGGUACCUGACUAAGAAGCACCGGCUAAAUACGUGCCAGCAGCCGCGGUAAUACGUAGGGUGCAAGCGUUAUCCGGAAUUAUUGGGCGUAAAGGGCUCGUAGACGGUUCGUCNCGUCCGGUGUGAAAGUCCAUCGCUUAACGGUGGAUCUGCGCCGGGUACGGGCGGGCUGGAGUGCGGUAGGGGAGACUGGAAUUCCCGGUGUAACGGUGGAAUGUGUAGAUAUCGGGAAGAACACCAAUGGCGAAGGCAGGUCUCUGGGCCGUUACUGACGCUGAGGAGCGAAAGCGUGGGGAGCGAACAGGAUUAGAUACCCUGGUAGUCCAAGGGCGAAUUC
Molecule: ribosomal RNA, 422 nt
Filed under: uncultured bacterium
Lineage: Bacteria
Description: SSU rRNA
Rfam family: Bacterial small subunit ribosomal RNA
Source: RNAcentral